RNAcentral lists this ribosomal RNA (427 nucleotides) under uncultured bacterium. Its description in RNAcentral is "bacterial SSU rRNA". It matches the Rfam family "Bacterial small subunit ribosomal RNA", at positions 355 to 774 of the family's 1533-position model. The record is from RNAcentral.
UGGGGAAUUUUGGACAAUGGGCGAAAGCCUGAUCCAGCCAUGCCGCGUGAGUGAAGAAGGCCUUCGGGUUGUAAAGCUCUUUUAGUCGGAAAGAAAGAGUUGCAAUGAAUAAUUGUGAUUUAUGACGGUACCGACAGAAAAAGCACCGGCUAACUACGUGCCAGCAGCCGCGGUAAUACGUAGGGUGCGAGCGUUAUCCGGAUUCACUGGGUUUAAAGGGUGCGUAGGCGGGCAGGUAAGUCAGUGGUGAAAUCUUCCGGCUUAACCGGAAAACUGCCGUUGAUACUAUUUGUCUUGAAUAUUGCGGAGGUAAGCGGAAUAUGUCAUGUAGCGGUGAAAUGCAUAGAUAUGACAUGGAACACCAAUUGCGAAGGCAGCUUACUACACAAUGAUUGACGCUGAUGCACGAAAGCGUGGGGAGCGAACA